RNAcentral lists this ribosomal RNA (429 nucleotides) under Gemmatimonadota bacterium. RNAcentral describes it as "Gemmatimonadetes bacterium partial 16S ribosomal RNA". It matches the Rfam family "Bacterial small subunit ribosomal RNA", at positions 355 to 776 of the family's 1533-position model. The record is from RNAcentral. Lineage: Bacteria; Pseudomonadati; Gemmatimonadota.
UAGGGAAUCUUCGGCAAUGGACGAAAGUCUGACCGAGCAACGCCGCGUGAGUGAAGAAGGUUUUCGGAUCGUAAAACUCUGUUGUUAGAGAAGAACAAGGACGUUAGUAACUGAACGUCCCCUGACGGUAUCUAACCAGAAAGCCACGGCUAACUACGUGCCAGCAGCCGCGGUAAUACGUAGGUGGCAAGCGUUGUCCGGAUUUAAUGGGCGUAAAGCGAGCGCAGGCGGUUUCUUAAGUCUGAUGUGAAAGCCCCCGGCUCAACCGGGGAGGGUCAUUGGAAACUGGGAGACUUGAGUGCAGAAGAGGAGAGUGGAAUUCCAUGUGUAGCGGUGAAAUGCGUAGAUAUAUGGAGGAACACCAGUGGCGAAGGCGGCUCUCUGGUCUGUAACUGACGCUGAGGCGCGAAAGCGUGGGGAGCAAACAGG